GUGCCAGCCGCCGCGGUAAUACGUAGGUGGCAAGCGUUGUCCGGAAUUAUUGGGCGUAAAGCGCGCGCAGGCGGUCUUUUAAGUCUGAUGUGAAAGCCCCCGGCUCAACCGGGGAGGGUCAUUGGAAACUGGAGGACUUGAGUGCAGAAGAGAAGAGCGGAAUUCCACGUGUAGCGGUGAAAUGCGUAGAGAUGUGGAGGAACACCAGUGGCGAAGGCGGCUCUUUGGUCUGUAACUGACGCUGAGGCGCGAAAGCGUGGGGAGCAAACAGGAUUAGAUACCCUGGUAGUCC
RNAcentral lists this ribosomal RNA (292 nucleotides) under uncultured bacterium. RNAcentral describes it as "partial 16S ribosomal RNA". It matches the Rfam family "Bacterial small subunit ribosomal RNA", at positions 505 to 796 of the family's 1533-position model. The record is from RNAcentral.